GGGGGGGGGGGAGGAGAAGAGAAGCAGCUUUUCGCUCUAUUCAGCCUGGACGCGGGAGCGCGGACGAUUUCCGCUCCCAUUGUGAGGCGGGGCCCGGGGGCGGCCGUGAAUGGGGGGUCUGCCGAGCGGCCCGCGGGGCUGUCAGGCGGCUCAGCGUAAUCAGGGCUAAUGACGGUGGCCGGGCGCUCCGCGGGACAAUGCGCGGGGCCGCGGGGUUUUGUCGGCCUGAAUGGCUAAUAGGUUCGCCUGGGGGUGCGAGGGGGGCGGUGUCGGGGAAGAGGCGGCGGCGAGGGGAAAAGGGGUCAUUGUUCGCGCACCGGCCCGGGCGCCGAGGCGCGUCCCUCUCCCCGCGCGGCGGCCCCCGGGCCGGGAGCGGCCGACUGGAAGGCCGCGGCCGGGAGGCCCCCUGGAGGCCUGCUGCGACAGGGCGGCGGGAACGGCGGGUGCGUGGGUUCCGCGUACGGGAGGCAGCCCCGACACAACUCUGUUCCCCGGAGACGCCCAGAGGCUUUUAACUCUGCCUGGGGCUGCUUGUCAUCUAUUUGAAGCUCUCCAAAGGGACCUUAGCCCAUUCUGCAAUUCCGGAUAACCCGAAAUGAAGAAGAAAUUGACUCACAGCUAAGCUUCUCUUCUUAUUCCUGUUUCCUACUCCCUCCUCAUGUUGAUCCUGGGAAUAUUCUUCAGUAAAUGUCCUGCACACAAAUUUCCAUCUGAGCCUGUUUCCCUGGCAGCUUGACCUAAGACAUAGAGGAAUGGAUGGCUUGAAUACUCUCCAGGCAAUACCCUAUAAACAUUAUUUUAUCCAACAGAUAUUUGAUAAGUGUUAGGCAGCAGAGUUUCAGGUUAUAUUCCUUGACAUGUACUUGAAGUUCUCUUUUGCUAAUAAAAG
This 889-nucleotide long non-coding RNA is filed under the name Vulpes vulpes (red fox). RNAcentral's name for it is "lncRNA (ENSVVUG00000029478.1)". The record is from RNAcentral. Lineage: Eukaryota; Metazoa; Chordata; Mammalia; Carnivora; Canidae.